This 968-nucleotide non-coding RNA is filed under the name Lophoceros camurus (red-billed dwarf hornbill). RNAcentral describes it as "Tockus camurus (red-billed dwarf hornbill) 12S ribosomal RNA". It matches the Rfam family "Bacterial small subunit ribosomal RNA". Lineage: Eukaryota; Metazoa; Chordata; Aves; Bucerotiformes; Bucerotidae. The record is from RNAcentral.
AAAAGAUUUAGUCCUAACCUUACCGUUAGUUCUUGCUAGACAUAUACAUGCAAGCAUCCACGCCCCAGUGUAAAUGCCCACAACUUCUUACCAAGACACAAGGAGCGGGCAUCAGGCACACAAACAGUAGCCUAAGACGCCUUGCCCAGCCACACCCCCACGGGUACUCAGCAGUAAUUAACAUUGAGCCAUAAGCGAAAGCUUGACUCAGUUAUAGCAACAUAGGGUUGGUAAAUCUUGUGCCAGCCACCGCGGUCACACAAGAGACCCAAACUAAUCGUACACGGCGUAAAGAGUGGUACCACGCUAUCACAGUAACUAGAGACAAAAUAUCACUAAGCUGUCAUAAGCCCAAGUCACACAUAAGACCACCCCCUCAAAUGACUCUAGCACCCAUGACUGACUAACCCCCACGAAAGCCAGGGCCCAAACUGGGAUUAGAUACCCCACUAUGCCUGGCCCUAAAUUCCGAUGUUUACCGUACAUAAAACAUCCGCCUGAGGACUACGAGCGCAAACGCUUAAAACUCUAAGGACUUGGCGGUGCCCUAAACCCACCUAGAGGAGCCUGUUCUGUAAUCGAUAACCCACGAUACACCCCACCCCUCCUUGCCAAGAGCAGCCUACAUACCGCCGUCGUCAGCUUACCUCCCCUGAGAGGACAACAGUGAGCUCAAUAGCCCCAACCCCGCUAACAAGACAGGUCAAGGUAUAGCCCAUGGAGGGGAAGAAAUGGGCUACAUUUCCUAAAAUAGAAAACACGAAAAGGGAUGUGAAACCCCCUCCCUGGAAGGCGGAUUUAGCAGUAAAGAGGGACAAUAUAUGCCCUCUUUAAGUCGGCCCUGGGGCACGUACAUACCGCCCGUCACCCUCCUCACAUGCCCCCAAUCCUAUCAAUAAUAUGCCCACCAGCUAAAGAUGAGGUAAGUCGUAACAAGGUAAGUGUACCGGAAGGUGCACUUAGCAUAU